GGCAGGCUUAACACAUGCAAGUCGAGGGGUAUAGUUCUUCGGAAUUAGAGACCGGCGCACGGGUGCGUAACGCGUAUGCAAUCUACCUUUUACAGAGGGAUAGCCCAGAGAAAUUUGGAUUAAUACCUCAUAGUAUAUAGACCUGGCAUCAGGAUUAUAUUAAAGUCACAACGGUAAAAGAUGAGCAUGCGUCCCAUUAGCUAGUUGGUAAGGUAACGGCUUACCAAGGCUACGAUGGGUAGGGGUCCUGAGAGGGAGAUCCCCCACACUGGUACUGAGACACGGACCAGACUCCUACGGGAGGCAGCAGUGAGGAAUAUUGGACAAUGGGCGCAAGCCUGAUCCAGCCAUGCCGCGUGCAGGAUGACGGUCCUAUGGAUUGUAAACUGCUUUUAUACGAGAAGAAACACUACUUCGUGAAGUAGCUUGACGGUAUCGUAAGAAUAAGGAUCGGCUAACUCCGUGCCAGCAGCCGCGGUAAUACGGAGGAUCCAAGCGUUAUCCGGAAUCAUUGGGUUUAAAGGGUCCGUAGGCGGUUUAAUAAGUCAGUGGUGAAAGCCCAUCGCUCAACGGUGGAACGGCCAUUGAUACUGUUAAACUUGAAUUAUUAGGAAGUAACUAGAAUAUGUAGUGUAGCGGUGAAAUGCUUAGAGAUUACAUGGAAUACCAAUUGCGAAGGCAGGUUACUACUAAUGGAUUGACGCUGAUGGACGAAAGCGUGGGUAGCGAACAGGAUUAGAUACCCUGGUAGUCCACGCCGUAAACGAUGGAUACUAGCUGUUGGAAGCAAUUUCAGUGGCUAAGCGAAAGUGAUAAGUAUCCCAC
Molecule: ribosomal RNA, 825 nt
Filed under: uncultured bacterium
Lineage: Bacteria
Description: bacterial SSU rRNA
Rfam family: Bacterial small subunit ribosomal RNA
Source: RNAcentral